This 1045-nucleotide long non-coding RNA is filed under the name Mus musculus (house mouse). RNAcentral's name for it is "long non-coding RNA chr3:98148100-98149145". The record is from RNAcentral. Lineage: Eukaryota; Metazoa; Chordata; Mammalia; Rodentia; Muridae.
AGUCUUCAUGUCUUAUUCCUAGAAGGAAAGAGGAAGCAAAAUAUUUGGGGACUAGAAGCCUCCUUCUGAACCUGCACCUUAAUUUCUCUCCCCUGCAUGUGGGGCCCCAUAUACACUCAUCAGGGGGAAGGAUCUGAAUUGUUCUUCUGUCAGUUGGCCUAGUCAGUAUAAAAUUGAACUCUAGGAGGCUUAGGUACUGUGAUAUUCCUCUCAUUUUGUUGUAAAGUAGGAAAAGUGGGUGAGUGUUGGAAUGUCCAAGAAAUAAGCUAACUUGCUCAAGAAGCAAUCGCCCCCCUCCAGGCCCUCCAUUGACUGCCACUGUGAAGCACAUUUAUCACCUGAUCUUAGGACUCAUUGAUCCAGCAGAUGAAGGUACUCUUGGCUGCUGCACUGCUCCUCAUAGAUGCCCGCAGAAGAAAAUGCCUCUCCAUUUGCCCUUGCCAUUUAGGACAGAACUUGCCUGGGGCACAGGGGACCCAGUGACUGCCAACUUCCUUAGGACCACUUUGCUUUCCGAUCAGAAGCCAGUUUCUUUCCACAGCGUGUGAUCUGAGAGACUGGUGCACACACAGUAGGUUCUCAGUGAAGACGUGGAGUCUGUAUUUGGGUUCCAGAUGUGGAGAAGGGACAGUCUCCUGAGCUCACGAGGCAGCCUUUGCUAGUCGAUGCUGCAUUCUCUUCCUUCCCUAGAGUCCCCUUCCGAUGAUGACGGCUCCCCAUUGUCCUUGUGUUCAGAUUAAGAUUGUACCUCAUCCGAACCUGCUUCCUGCAGUGUGGUCUCAGUGACUUCUCAGACUCUCAAGAGCAGAAACAUUUUUAUCUGUGGUAAUCUAGGAUGAUAGUUUUCUCCUCAGUCAUAGGGCUAAUAAUUGCCCCUAUGGCCAUGCCAUCAGUCACUGCUUCCUGGUGCCAUGGCACCCAGGACACAGGAAAAUGAGUUCUGCUGGAGCAUUUGUGUAUAUUAUUAGGGGGACCACCUGGGGGUGUUUGUUUUAUGGGUUUUGUUGUUGUUGUUUUAAUAAUAGUCUUUAUUCCUGUGAUAGUU